This 1214-nucleotide ribosomal RNA is filed under the name metagenome. RNAcentral describes it as "bacterial SSU rRNA". It matches the Rfam family "Archaeal small subunit ribosomal RNA", at positions 1 to 1199 of the family's 1478-position model. The record is from RNAcentral.
UCCGGUUGAUCCUGCCGGACCCCACUGCUAUCGGGAUAGGAAUAAGACAUGCUAGUCAAGCGCUUUCUAGCUAAUGUGAGAGCGCGGCGUACAGCUCAGUAACACGUGGCCAACCUGCCCUUGGGACGGGAACACCCCCGGGAAUCUGGGGUUAAUUCCCGAUAGGUGAAGAAGUCUGGAAUGAAUCUUCGCUCAAAAGACGUUUAUGUCAUGCUCAUAUUCGUCGCCCAGGGAUGGGGCCGCGACCGAUCAGGUAGUUGGUGAGGCAAUGGCUCACCAAGCCUUUUACCGGUGCGGGCCGUGAGAGCGGGAGCCCGGAGAUGGGCACUGAGACAAGGGCCCAGGCCCCACGGGGCGCAGCAGUCGCGAAAACUUUGCAAUACACGAAAGUGUGACAGGGCUAUCCCGAGUGCCAUCCGCUGAGGAAGGCUUUUACCCAGUAUAAAUAGCUGGGAGAAUAAGGAGAGGGCAAGUCUGGUGUCAGCCGCCGCGGUAAUACCAGCUCUCCGAGUAGUGUGGACGUUUAUUGGGCCUAAAGCAUCCGUAGCUUGCUAGAUAAGUCCUCUGUUAAAUCCACCGAUUCAAUCGUUGGAUUGCGGGGGAUACUGUUUGGCUAGGGGACGGGAGAGGUCGACGGUAUUUCCGGGGUAGGGGUGAAAUCCUAUAAUCCCGGGAAGACCACCAGUGGCGAAGGCUGUCGACUAGAACGCGCCCGACGGUGAGGGAUGAAAGCUGGGGGAGCGAACCGGAUUAGAUACCAGGGUAGUCCCAGCUGUAAACGAUGCAGGCUAGGUGUUUGGGCGGCCACGAGCCGCCCUAGUGCCGCAGGGAAGCUGUUAAGCCUGCCGCCUGGGGAGUACGGCCGCAAGGCUGAAACUUAAAGGAAUCGGCGGGGGAGCACCACAAGGGGUGAAGCUUGCGGUUUAAUUGGAGCAACGCCGGAAAUCUCACCGGGAUCGACAGCAGUAUGAAGGCCAGAUUAAAGGUCUUGCUAGACGAGCUGAGAGGAGGUGCAUGGCCGUCGCCAGUUCGUGCCGUGAGGUGUCCUGUUAAGUCAGGCAACGAUCGAGACCCGCGUCCUCUGUUGCUACUGGUUUUGUGCCAGGCACACUGAGGAGACCGCCGCUGAUAAAGCGGAGGAAGGAGCGGGCCACGGCAGGUCAGUAUGCCCCGAAUAUCCCGGGCCACACGCGAGCUGCAAUGGCAGGUACAAU